GAUGAACGCUGGCGGCGUGCCUAAUACAUGCGAGUCGAGCGAACGGACGAGAAGCUUGCUUCUCUGAUGUUAGCGGCGGACGGGUGAGUAACACGUGGAUAACCUACCUAUAAGACUGGGAUAACUUCGGGAAACCGGAGCUAAUACCGGAUAAUAUUUUGAACCGCAUGGUUCAAAAGUGAAAGACGGUCUUGCUGUCACUUAUAGAUGGAUCCGCGCUGCAUUAGCUAGUUGGUAAGGUAACGGCUUACCAAGGCAACGAUGCAUAGCCGACCUGAGAGGGUGAUCGGCCACACUGGAACUGAGACACGGUCCAGACUCCUACGGGAGGCAGCAGUAGGGAAUCUUCCGUAAUGGGCGAAAGCCUGACGGAGCAACGCCGCGUGAGUGAUGAAGGUCUUCGGAUCGUAAAACUCUGUUAUUAGGGAAGAACAUAUGUGUAAGUAACUGUGCACAUCUUGACGGUACCUAAUCAGAAAGCCACGGCUAACUACGUG
This 497-nucleotide ribosomal RNA is filed under the name uncultured bacterium. RNAcentral describes it as "partial 16S ribosomal RNA". It matches the Rfam family "Bacterial small subunit ribosomal RNA", at positions 28 to 507 of the family's 1533-position model. The record is from RNAcentral.